RNAcentral lists this ribosomal RNA (253 nucleotides) under uncultured bacterium. RNAcentral describes it as "partial 16S ribosomal RNA". It matches the Rfam family "Bacterial small subunit ribosomal RNA", at positions 524 to 776 of the family's 1533-position model. The record is from RNAcentral.
UACGUAGGGUGCAAGCGUUAAUCGGAAUUACUGGGCGUAAAGCGUGCGCAGGCGGUUGUGCAAGACAGAUGUGAAAUCCCCGGGCUCAACCUGGGAAUUGCAUUUGUGACUGCACGGCUAGAGUGUGUCAGAGGGGGGUAGAAUUCCACGUGUAGCAGUGAAAUGCGUAGAUAUGCGGAGGAACACCGAUGGCGAAGGCAAUCCCCUGGGCCUGCACUGACGCUCAUGCACGAAAGCGUGGGGAGCAAACAGG